UUCCUUCUAUUGGUGCAAAGCUCCUUCAGAAAUUUGGCAUACCUAGGAAUUUGCUUAACAGCGUCUAGCAGUGGUAUGUUGAUCUCCACUUUUCUGAAAGUCUCAAGAAUCUCCUUUUCUUCCUUUUCUUUUUGUGUUCUUUCAAAUCUUUUUGGGAAAGGAGGUGGGAUGUGAAAGCUUGUCUUUGGAUCGGUCUUGUGUGCAGGAGGUGGUUCUGACUGAGAUGGG
This 228-nucleotide long non-coding RNA is filed under the name Manihot esculenta (cassava). RNAcentral's name for it is "long non-coding RNA (MESC_LNC008654)". Lineage: Eukaryota; Viridiplantae; Streptophyta; Magnoliopsida; Malpighiales; Euphorbiaceae. The record is from RNAcentral.